Molecule: long non-coding RNA, 287 nt
Organism: Strongylocentrotus purpuratus (purple sea urchin)
Lineage: Eukaryota; Metazoa; Echinodermata; Echinoidea; Camarodonta; Strongylocentrotidae
Exons: 3
Source: RefSeq, a predicted model, not a curated record
CUUGAUAGAGACACCUCGUUACAUCGAGCUACGAGAAAGAAUAUCAUCAUCUUACAUAAUUCUACUCGAACACCGCAUCGAAAUCAGACUUUAAAAAUGGCGUCAAAAACCAUGAUUUCUCUCUACUGUCUGAUUGCAUUGGCCGUGGUAGCAAGUGUUUUAGUCGAGGAAGAUGAGAUCGACAAUUCCAAUGCGUUGAGUGUUGAGGAGCAACAAGACAUAAUAGAAUAUUGUAAGCAGCUAAGACGGUUAGGCAAAGUCACACCUCCCUGGUUAGGCGGUCAUGG